GCCUACCAGGUUAAGCUACCACCCCUCUUAUGUACUGAUCGUGAACCUUGUGCAUAGCCGAUGUGGGAUUUGCCUAAGGUGAGUGCACUGCCUCUCUGCAGCCACCGCUCACCCCCCCUUAGGGACUCAGCGCCCACGCUGAGGUUUGCCCCACCACCGGCCAGAGGAACAAGGCUUGGCUCUGAUACCAAAUGUCAUGGCCCCAACCUUGGUAGGUAUUGUCCGCUUUGGGCCACGCAGGCCCGCACGGUUUUGUCCCUUGGGCCAGGCUUUUCA
Molecule: long non-coding RNA, 276 nt
Filed under: Jatropha curcas
Lineage: Eukaryota; Viridiplantae; Streptophyta; Magnoliopsida; Malpighiales; Euphorbiaceae
Description: long non-coding RNA (JCUR_LNC001789)
Source: RNAcentral